UAUCUCUGUAGAGUCUGCAUAUCAAUAAGCGGAGGAAAAGAAACUAACUAGGAUUCCCUCAGUAACGGCGAGUGAAGCGGGAAGAGCUCAAAUUUGAAAUCUUCAAGGUUCUACCUUGACGAAUUGUAGUUUAAAGAAGUGUUUUCUGUUGGAGUUUUGGUAAAAGUUCUUUGGAAUAGGACAUCAUAGAGGGUGAGAAUCCCGUAUUUGACCAUUAUUUCCAGCUUUGUGAUACACUUUCAAAGAGUCGGAUUGUUUGGGAAUGCAGUCCAAAAUGGGUGGUAAAUUUCAUCUAAAGCUAAAUAUUGGCGAGAGACCGAUAGCGAACAAGUACCGUGAGGGAAAGAUGAAAAGAACUUUGAAAAGAGAGUUAAACAGUACGUGAAAUUGUCAAAAGGGAAGCGUUUGACACCAGUGUUGUUUUCUCGAAAAUCAAUUAAAAAUGGCUUGAUUUUGUGUUGUAUUGACCUUAAAAGCUUUCUUCACUUUUUUCAUGUCUUUUUUAAUGCACUUUUCGUUUAACAAGUCAACAUCAGUUUCUUUUGUUGUAAAAAGGUCAUUGGAAGGUGGCUUUCUUUUCGGAGAAAGUGUUUAUAGCCUUUGACUUCUGCAAUCGGAGAGACUGAGGUCUGCAGCGUAGAUCCUUCUGGAUUAGAUUCAUUUGUGCUAAGUUACAACCGUUUAUAGACAACUUGUUGACUAUAUUCGAUCCUGUAGCUUACUCGCUUAUGUAAUUUUACCUACGCUUAGGAUGUUGAAGAUGUAGCACAUCAU
RNAcentral lists this ribosomal RNA (774 nucleotides) under uncultured Neocallimastigales. RNAcentral's name for it is "partial large subunit ribosomal RNA". It matches the Rfam family "Eukaryotic large subunit ribosomal RNA", at positions 24 to 635 of the family's 3401-position model. The record is from RNAcentral. Lineage: Eukaryota; Fungi; Neocallimastigomycota; Neocallimastigomycetes; Neocallimastigales.